GAUAUUCUAUUGGCUUUCUUCAUUGUUUAUUAUUUUGUAUAUAUUUCAUAUAAACUUAUUUACUAAUGAACAGUUCAAUUACAACAGCCUUCACGAUAAAAAGGAAAAAUAAACAAGCCAUGCACUGCUCUCCAACUAUCAAGGAUGAUAAAUAUGCAAAAAUAAACAGAGUUUCUUAACCUCUCAGGAAUUCAACAAAGUUUCUAAGCAUCUCAUGAAUUUAAACUUGUUACAUAGUUCCACCUCCCCCUAUCAACUCUGCCACAAGACAUGCAGCAUUGAAACCUUCCCGGAAGUGAUGAGAACCUCCCAAGGAUGAUGCACUCUAAGGUGGUGAGGGGAUAAGCUUUGCAUCCCAGAGACUGUGAAAUCUCAAAGAUCAAAGGAUGUGGAUUGAAUGGCACACAAAGGUUGCGGAAAUUCCUUUGGAUCGAUUCUCUAGAUAUUACACACCAAAAAAAUCGACAGCUUGCUAGAUAUGACACACCAACAAGGAAUGGAUUGAGAGAUGGAUUGAGAGACGCCACAAAGAUAUGUGAAAAGAUCUAUGAUAAUUUUAGACCAGCCAUGAACAUAGAUAUGACAUGCCAUGAACAUAGAUAUGACACAGUACCAUUAACAUGUAGUUCCAAAAAUUACAAGACAUCACAUCUUGAAAGAGAGAAACUUCUCUAAUUUUCACUGAAAAACAAA
This 693-nucleotide long non-coding RNA is filed under the name Brassica napus (rape). Its description in RNAcentral is "long non-coding RNA (BNAP_LNC011381)". Lineage: Eukaryota; Viridiplantae; Streptophyta; Magnoliopsida; Brassicales; Brassicaceae. The record is from RNAcentral.